This is a long non-coding RNA of Delphinapterus leucas (beluga whale), 567 nucleotides long. RefSeq lists it as uncharacterized. The record is from RefSeq and is a predicted model, not a curated record. Lineage: Eukaryota; Metazoa; Chordata; Mammalia; Artiodactyla; Monodontidae.
CCUGGGUCCUUAGUGGACCAUGAUAAAGGUUUUUAACAGAGAAGUGCUAUGAGACUUAAAUGAGCGAAGUAAUAUAAAGCUGUUGGAACUGCUCCAGACCCAUGGUGAAUACGCAGUAAGAGUUGCAGGGGUGAAAACGUUGCCUGAAGGUCAGCGGCAGAUACUUCAAACAUUCAGAUGUCCAAGUUCAGCUUCUUAAGCAGGAGCCUAGGAGGUUGCGUUUCUGGGGCUGAGCCAUUACUGCUGUUUUUGAAGCUGCCACCAUGAGGGCUCACACGUCAGCUGCUACAGACAGAUGAGAAGGCAAGAGAAUUGAAUGAAGGAGUUGUUUAGCCAGGCUGUGCACCGUCUCUAGAUCUGGAUGGCACACAUAUCCUGCGUUCUUUGCAACCUGACUAAGCAUGGCUAAGAACCUCCUCACGCAGUCCAUGCAGCUCACAAAGCACUUCCCUAAGAGACGGAGUUCAAAAAAGACUCACCACCUUCCUCUUUUUGUAUGUGAGGGGAUCAUAAAACAAAGAACCUAAUUUUCAUGAAUCACAGAAUAAAGACGUCUUAUAUUCUGUA